Molecule: ribosomal RNA, 131 nt
Filed under: Leptolejeunea epiphylla
Lineage: Eukaryota; Viridiplantae; Streptophyta; Jungermanniopsida; Porellales; Lejeuneaceae
Description: partial 18S ribosomal RNA
Rfam family: Eukaryotic small subunit ribosomal RNA
Source: RNAcentral
GAAGUUUCGGAUCGCGCGAACCCGGCGGUUCGCCGCCGGUGUUGUUGUGAGAAGUUCAUUAAACCUUAUCAUUUAGAGGAAGGAGAAGUCGUAACAAGGUUUCCGUAGGUGAACCUGCGGAAGGAUCAUUG